RNAcentral lists this ribosomal RNA (571 nucleotides) under Pseudosigmoidea ibarakiensis. RNAcentral's name for it is "eukaryotic LSU rRNA". It matches the Rfam family "Eukaryotic large subunit ribosomal RNA", at positions 62 to 648 of the family's 3401-position model. The record is from RNAcentral. Lineage: Eukaryota; Fungi; Ascomycota; Dothideomycetes; Venturiales; Sympoventuriaceae.
AAACCAACAGGGAUUGCCCCAGUAACGGCGAGUGAAGCGGCAUCAGCUCAAAUUUGAAAUCUGGCGUCUUCGGCGUCCGAGUUGUAAUUUGUAGAGAGUGUCUCGGGUGGAGCACCGGUCCAAGUCCCUUGGAACAGGAUAUCAUAGAGGGUGAGAAUCCCGUAUCCGGCCGGCCCCCUCCCCCGCUGUGAGACCUCUUCGACGAGUCGAGUUGUUUGGGAAUGCAGCUCUAAAUUGGAGGUAAAUUCCUUCUAAAGCUAAAUACUGGCCAGAGACCGAUAGCGCACAAGUAGAGUGAUCGAAAGAUGAAAAGCACUUUGAAAAGAGAGUCAAACAGUACGUGAAAUUGUUGAAAGGGAAGCGUAUGCGGCCAGACUUGUCCCCAGUUGCUCAGCCCGUCUUUUGGCGGGUGUACUCUUCUGGGGCCAGGCCAGCAUCGGUUUGGGCGGUCGGAUAAAGACGUUAGGAAUGUGGCCCCUCUCGGGGGGUGUUAUAGCCUGGCGUGCAAUGCGAUCAGCCCGGACCGAGGCCCGCGUUCUGCUAGGAUGCUGGCGUAAUGGCCGUAUACGGC